GACGGAGGAUGCAAGCGUUAUCCGGAAUGAUUGGGCGUAAAGCGUCCGCAGGUGGCAGUUCAAGUCUGCUGUCAAAGACCGGGGCUUAACUUCGGAAAGGCAGUGGAAACUGAACAGCUAGAGUAUGGUAGGGGCAGAGGGAAUUCCUGGUGUAGCGGUGAAAUGCGUAGAGAUCGGAAGGAACGCCCGUGGCGAAAGCGAGGUCCUGGACGCCUACUGACGCUGAGACGCGAAAGCCAGGGGAGCGAACGGG
Molecule: ribosomal RNA, 253 nt
Filed under: uncultured bacterium
Lineage: Bacteria
Description: partial 16S ribosomal RNA
Rfam family: Bacterial small subunit ribosomal RNA
Source: RNAcentral